Molecule: long non-coding RNA, 1624 nt
Organism: Leptopilina heterotoma
Lineage: Eukaryota; Metazoa; Arthropoda; Insecta; Hymenoptera; Figitidae
Exons: 9
Source: RefSeq, a predicted model, not a curated record
GAAAAUGUUGUUUAUUAAUAAUAGAAAAGUUUUUGUACACUAUAAAUAAGAAUUACGAGACACAAAAUAUAUUAAUCAGUUUAAAUAAUUGAGAUUUUGAAUAUAAAAAAUAUGUUAAUGAAAAAACUGUAGAGGGUUUGAUUUACGUUGUUGUCAAAUUCUUCCCCAUGUUCUCCCACAAAGAUGGACGAAGUAAACAAUAACAAUGUCAGUUAUAAAUAAUUGCAAUUUGUGUAUGGCAUAAGUAUAAUAAUAAAUUUUCUAGAGAAAUGAAUACAUUAAAAGAAGGAUUUUAUGUACAUAAUGAUGUGGAUUGUUGCGGAAAAAUGCAAAAAGUUGCAAAUAGGUAUAUUAGCUUUUUAUGGAUUACUAAAAAGAUUUUCAUCAAAUUCUCAUCCGCAAUGUAUUUUCCGAAUUUUCCAUAUAUUAACAUAACCAUAAAAUGCACAGUGCAGUUUGAUGGCAAAAUAAUAAAAAUUAAUUACGUUAAUUACCAAAGGACAUGGGGACACUACUUGAUAAAGAAAGAUCUUUGGCACAUUUUUUGUCAUAAUAGGAUGAAUUUAAUACAUUUUUGAAAGAGAAAUUUAAAUCCAAAAGACGAUUUACUACAAUAUUUCCACGUACUCACUGGAAAUUAAGAAAAAAGAAACGAUCGAAUAUAUUCAGCGUCUAAAUGUGGGAUUUUUUUUAAUUGUCGCAGAAUUCCUAACAGCAAAAGGCAAUUUUAUUUUGAUUGGAAGAAAAGGUGUGACGCCAAUUUUCGGAAUAUUAUUUUAUUGAAUCCAAAUGUGAUAUUUGUGUGAUCAGUCGCAGAAUUUAUGAUAACAACUGUUAAUUUAAUUUAGAAAAGAAUUAUUAGUCAAGGACAAGAAAAAAAGGAUUGUGAUAAAUUGUUCUAUUUCAUCUAAACGAAUAUACCAGAAAAGGAUUAUUAUUCAAGGACAAUAAAUAAACGGAUUUUGAUAAAUGUGCCGUAAUUAUGUAAGUGGCGGAACUUCUUAUUAAGUUUCGCUAAUGAUUCGGACAGGAGUGUUUAAGGAGAAGAAUAUGUGUUGAGACGGAGAAGACCAAAGAAAGAAUGAAAAAAUAAAGAAUCGUCCUUUGAAUGAUUGGUAGAAGUCCUUUUUCUCCUCUCUUCAGUCCAGUAAAUUAUGUAAGAUAUAAAUUUUUCGACUAUGAAAAAUGGAAGAGUUAUAGUAAAAAUUCGAAAACAUAAAGUGAACGUCAACAUUCAAAAUAGUAUUCAUCUUCGAUCUACGCAGAAUUGUCUUCAUUUCUUCAAAGAUGAGGAAAGGUACGGCAAUCAUCAACUUCCGGAUCCGUGUCAGCAAAUAUGUGCAGCGCGGAGUACCGAGGAGAAGGAAUUGAAAAAAAAAGAGGCGAGACUUACUUUAUCUGGCAGAAAGCUAUCCUUUAUGGCAUAUAUUAACCCUGACGGGAUUCAAGGUUCAACUUUUUGUUCCUACAACAUUGUCAUUGGAAAAUAUCAACAAAGGAGUUCGUUGAAGAAGUAAUUCGUCGCAACACUGCAAGAGAAAAUUAUCAUCUUUGUCUUCGUUAUCAUCAUCAUCUUCAUCAUCAUUAUCAACAUCAUCAUUAGCAUCGUCUUCAUCAACAUCAA